Molecule: long non-coding RNA, 389 nt
Filed under: Trifolium pratense (red clover)
Lineage: Eukaryota; Viridiplantae; Streptophyta; Magnoliopsida; Fabales; Fabaceae
Description: long non-coding RNA (TPRA_LNC012290)
Source: RNAcentral
AGUUUGUUUGUUGUGUUUUGCAAUCAAUCAACAAGUAAAUUAAUAAAAAAGAAUUAAAUAGAGAAGCCAUGGAUUUUGAAAUCUCAGAUCUGGACCUUCAUAUUAUUACUAGUUCUGCAGAGCGAGAGAGAGAGAGCAAGACGAAUAUGGUGGGCGGUGGCAACCGGAGCAGAGGUGGUUCAAAGGUGUGAACACUUUGCUUGGUCGGUGUGGGUGAUCGUGUGAAGUGAUUUUUUGUUAUAUUUGCAGGCUGGAAGAAGAAGAGGAUGGAGAAGAGAUGUGGUACAUAGGAAAAAGAGAAGCACACUUUAAUCUAAGCCAUUAAUUUUUAAUCCAAAGACUGAAAUUCAUUCUCAUAUUCUCAUAUAUUUAAAUCAUUCUCAUAAUAU